This 468-nucleotide ribosomal RNA is filed under the name uncultured bacterium. Its description in RNAcentral is "partial 16S ribosomal RNA". It matches the Rfam family "Bacterial small subunit ribosomal RNA", at positions 28 to 507 of the family's 1533-position model. The record is from RNAcentral.
GACGAACGCUGGCGGCGUGCUUAACACAUGCAAGUCGAACGGAAAGCCCCUGCUCUUGCUGGGUCCUCAACUGGCGAACGCGUGUGUAUCACGUGUGUAACCUCUCCUCCACACUCUGAUAUCUUCAUGGAACUCGGGCUCUUAUCCGAUAUGAGCUCCUGGUGCACGGUGUGGCUUGGUGAGUUUCGGCGGUUGGGGAUGGGCUCGCGGCUUAUCAGCUUGUUGGUGAGGUAUUGGCUUACCAAGGCUUUGACGGGUAGCCGGCCUGAGAGGGUGACCGGCCACAUUGGGACUGAGAUACGGCCCAGACUCCUACGGGAGGCAGCAGUGGGGAAUAUUGCACAAUGGGCGGAAGCCUGAUGCAGCAACGCCGCGUGAGGGAUGACGGCCUUCGGGUUGUAAACCGCUUUCGCCAGGGACGAAGCGUAAGUGACGGUAAUGGGUGAAGAAGCACCGGCUAACUACGUG